RNAcentral lists this long non-coding RNA (245 nucleotides) under Brassica napus (rape). RNAcentral's name for it is "long non-coding RNA (BNAP_LNC026052)". Lineage: Eukaryota; Viridiplantae; Streptophyta; Magnoliopsida; Brassicales; Brassicaceae. The record is from RNAcentral.
CGACGAUUUUUGCUUACGUGGAAUUAACGAGUCCCACGUUCUUUUCAUCUUUAUUUCCUCGUUAUCUUACGAGGAUUAUGUUUAAAUCCCUAAAAUCCGAAACCCCAAACCCUAUCUUCCUUAUCUUCUACUUCAUAUAUUCCAAACCUCAAACCCAUCUUCCCUUUAACCUCAAUCUAUUCUUUCCAUUCCAAACCCUAAAUUCUAAAACCACAAUUCCUUAACUUAUAAUCUCAAUCUCUUAU